GGUUCAGUAGCUCAGCUGGAUAGAGCAACGGCCUUCUAAGCCGUAGGUCGUGGGUUCGAAUCCCGCCUGAAUCACAA
RNAcentral lists this transfer RNA (77 nucleotides) under Odoribacter splanchnicus. RNAcentral describes it as "tRNA-Arg". It matches the Rfam family "tRNA". Rfam says of the family: Transfer RNA (tRNA) molecules are approximately 80 nucleotides in length. Their secondary structure includes four short double-helical elements and three loops (D, anti-codon, and T loops). Lineage: Bacteria; Pseudomonadati; Bacteroidota; Bacteroidia; Bacteroidales; Odoribacteraceae. RNAcentral also lists the same sequence under 2 other names. The record is from RNAcentral.